GUAUACAGAAUAUAAAAUGACACUUCGCUGCCUCUUUCAUGAUGAGACCAGUCCAGGGAUUGCUGGGGGCGGUCAGCAUCUCCAGGGCAUGGCCCAGCCAAUGAAGCCACCUGCGUACUGCCUUGCCCUCUGCUGCCUGAUUUCUCAGAAACCAGUAAGGGAGAUUGCUUUUGUUACCUUGUGGCCACCAGGUUCUCAGGCUGGACCUGGCUCUUGAGGUGCUUUGGAGGGUCUUCCAUGGCUGCUCAAGGGGUCCCAGGGCAGACAUGUGACCCCCC
This 278-nucleotide long non-coding RNA is filed under the name Sus scrofa (pig). RNAcentral's name for it is "lncRNA (ENSSSCG00040075232.1)". The record is from RNAcentral. Lineage: Eukaryota; Metazoa; Chordata; Mammalia; Artiodactyla; Suidae.